GGGGGCGGGCGGCAGCUACCAUGCAGUCGGGCGGUAACAGGAAAGCGCUUGCGCUUUUGCUGACGAGCGGCGGAGGGGAGUAAUGUCUGGGGAUCUGCCCGAGGGCGGGGGAUAACCACUGGAAACGGUGGCUAAUACCGCAUAAUGUCGCAAGACCAAAGUGGGGGACCUGAAAGGGCCUCACGCCGUCGGAUGAACCCAGAUGGGAUUAGCUGGUAGGUAGGGUAAUGGCCUACCUAGGCGACGAUCCCUAGCUGGUCUGAGAGGAUGACCAGCCACACUGGGACUGAGACACGGCCCAGACUCCUACGGGAGGCAGCAGUGGGGAAUAUUGCACAAUGGGCGCAAGCCUGAUGCAGCCAUGCCGCGUGUAUGAAGAAGGCCUUCGGGUUGUAAAGUACUUUCAGCGGGGAGGAAGGGUUGAGCCUGAACAGGGCUGGGCCUUGACGUUACCCGCAGAAGAAGCACCGGCUAACUCCGUGCCAGCAGCCGCGGUAAUACGGAGGGUGCAAGCGUUAAUCGGAAUGACUGGGCGUAAAGCGCACGCAGGCGGUCAAUUAAGUUAGAUGUGAAAUCCCCGGGCUCAACCUGGGAACGGCAUCUAAGACUGGUUGACUGGAGUCUCGUAGAGGGGGGUAGAAUUCCAUGUGUAGCGGUGAAAUGCGUAGAGAUGGGAGGAAAACCGGGGGGCGAGGGCGGCCCCCCUGGAGCGAAA
Molecule: ribosomal RNA, 715 nt
Filed under: Photorhabdus akhurstii
Lineage: Bacteria; Pseudomonadati; Pseudomonadota; Gammaproteobacteria; Enterobacterales; Morganellaceae
Description: bacterial SSU rRNA
Rfam family: Bacterial small subunit ribosomal RNA
Source: RNAcentral